RNAcentral lists this ribosomal RNA (489 nucleotides) under uncultured bacterium. RNAcentral's name for it is "partial 16S ribosomal RNA". It matches the Rfam family "Bacterial small subunit ribosomal RNA", at positions 30 to 506 of the family's 1533-position model. The record is from RNAcentral.
AUUGAACGCUGGCGGCAGGCCUAACACAUGCAAGUCGAACGGUAACAGGAAGAAGCUUGCUUCUUUGCUGACGAGUGGCGGACGGGUGAGUAAUGUCCGGGAAACUGCCUGAUGGAGGGGGAUAACUACUGGAAACGGUAGCUAAUACCGCAUAACGUCGCAAGACCAAAGAGGGGGACCUUCGGGCCUCUUGCCAUCGGAUGUGCCCAGAUGGGAUUAGCUAGUAGGUGGGGUAACGGCUCACCUAGGCGACGAUCCCUAGCUGGUCUGAGAGGAUGACCAGCCACACUGGAACUGAGACACGGUCCAGACUCCUACGGGAGGCAGCAGUGGGGAAUAUUGCACAAUGGGCGCAAGCCUGAUGCAGCCAUGCCGCGUGUAUGAAGAAGGCCUUCGGGUUGUAAAGUACUUUCAGCGGGGAGGAAGGGAGUAAAGUUAAUACCUUUGCUCAUUGACGUUACCCGCAGAAGAAGCACCGGCUAACUCCGU